Molecule: non-coding RNA, 2051 nt
Organism: Phascolarctos cinereus (koala)
Lineage: Eukaryota; Metazoa; Chordata; Mammalia; Diprotodontia; Phascolarctidae
Source: RefSeq, a predicted model, not a curated record
AUCCUGCCUUGGAAUGGAGACUGAACUAAAAAAAAAAACGCAGCUUGAAGGUUGGUGUUCCCACUGCCACCACAGGCAAAAAGAUAAAGGAGAAGAUAUGUUGGCAUAGGGUAUAUAAUAGAAUCAAAAGCCUGAAGAAUAGAACAUUAAAGCCUUUGUUAUUAUACUAGCACUUUUUUUGGGAGGUGAAGACAGUAUUAGAUUUAUGUUCUGUUCUGGACUCUGCCAUUGAUUAACUGUGUAACCUUGGAGGAAAAAGUGAGCAAAGCUAAGAACUCAGAAAAGGGCUUUAGUUGGGUCUGGCAACAGACCUCAGAACUGGCUACCACCUGAUGCCCAGUCAGAAGAGCAGACCUGGAAAGAAUAUCCAAAUCCCACCUUUACUACUUCGGUUUUAUCACUGCUUCAGCAGUUCCAAAAAAGAGCAAGCUGCUAAGAAGUUCCCCUACCCAGCAGAGGAUUGGAGACGCCCAGAAGAGGAGAGAUUUGAAGGGAACCAGCAUGAUGCAUGGAAUGCCAUCUCUGAGGACCCAUGGAAAUUUCAUUUCUGUGAAGAUUAGAUUGAAACUCAUCACCGGAAGAAGGAAAAAUGCUACUACAAAGCAAAACCUCAAGAACUCUUCUAGUAAGCUGUCCCCUAAUAAAGGCUGACAAGAAUGCCAAGAAAUUUCAUAUUUAUUUCAUUUUGCUUGAUAACACUUUGAGAACAAUCUGUUUAAUUGAUUCACUGUCUUAAUUAAUGCCAAAAUAAUUAAAAACUGAUGGAUAUUUUACCCUUGAGUUCAUUCUGCACGUUCCCAAAGGCUCUCUUUUUUUCUUUCCCCCCCUACCCAUAGCUACUGAAUUGUUUGGAGCUUUGUUUGUGAUUUUUUCAACUGGACGAGAAAGUUAAUGGUAAACCUCUAAAGCUGGGCAAAACAUUUUUUUUCAUAAAAGCAAUGUAAUUAGGAUAAAAAAUAUGUUAUUUCAUUGUUUGAAGUUGCCUGUGUAAUCUUAAGAGAAAGCACUUUUUUUAAAAAUUUUAUUAAAUGGAAGAACUUCUUAAUAGGUAGAUUUUUGUAUAUUUCAGCACAGCAGGUAGCCAGGAACUGCUAGGCUGAGGACAAAGGAAUCGGUGACUUUUGCUGAUCCUUGUCCUUUACCUGUCUACACUUUUCCCUGAGUGUGUUGCUCUGAAGUUUGUUGUCUCUUCAGUAGGGGCAUCUGGGUCCCAGAACUUGAAUUCUAAUCCUGCCUAAGAUUCCCAAAGAACAAUUCUAUUUUUAACUCUAGUCUGAGGGUUCCUCUCUUGCAAAAAGAUAGCAGUAGAAAGAAAGUUAAAAGUUACCUCUAGGUAACUCUAGUGCAAAACUAGGUACUCUAGUACAAAAAUGAAUCAGCUAUUAUGAACCAUUUCGAGCCACUCAUCACUGGAGAAAGGUUUAAAACCUAUAUUGUCCAUUCAGGAGAAAAGCAUUUUUGUCUCACUCUGAGCUUAAUCUACCAUAACACUUUGCAUGCUCUGGCAAAACAGAUAUGCUUUGCUCUGUUCUCUGAGUGAACCCAAAAUUCCAUUUCCUGUGUCAACAACUACAAGGCCAGAUGAAGCUUAAAAGGUAUAUUCUUCUCUUUAUGACUGCCAAGGACAAGCAGUCAUGAAGUGGAGACUAUCUUGAAUAAUGGGACUUUUCAUUAUGUCAUGUUAUGUUAUGUUACGUUAAGUUAUGUUAUGUUAUGUUAUGUUAUGUUAUGUUAUGUUGUGUUAUGCUAUGUUGUUAUGUUAUAUUAUGUUAGGUUGAUAGAAGAAACACAGAUAUACUGGAAAUAUAAUUUCACUUGUCAGUUUGACACAUCUUACUAUAUUUAUAAUCUAUCCUAUCAAGAAAAUUUCUUUCUCAUAUUAUGGUUAACACAUAUAAAGACUAUAAUUGUUGUUGACACAGUCAUCCUGAGUUGAGAUUGCUCUAAGGGUCUCCUUCCACUUGCUUUCCUCUGAAUUCAAAAUUAUUUUCUGAUUCCAUGCGUGCAUGAUUUUCUGGAUUAAUGAGAAUAAAUAAGCACAUUGUAACACA